CAGCCGCCGCGGUAAGACAGAGGAUGCAAGCGUUAUCCGGAAUGAUUGGGCGUAAAGCGUCUGUAGGUGGCUUUUCAAGUCCGCCGUCAAAUCCCAGGGCUCAACCCUGGACAGGCGGUGGAAACUACCAAGCUGGAGUACGGUAGGGGCAGAGGGAAUUUCCAGUGGAGCGGUGAAAUGCGUUGAGAUCGAAAAGAACACCAACAGCGAAAGCACUCUGCUGGGACGACACUGACACUAAGAGACGAAAGCUAGGGGAGCAAAUGGGAUUAGAGACCCCGGUAGUCCCUGUCUCUUAUAC
Molecule: ribosomal RNA, 301 nt
Filed under: uncultured bacterium
Lineage: Bacteria
Description: partial 16S ribosomal RNA
Rfam family: Bacterial small subunit ribosomal RNA
Source: RNAcentral